RNAcentral lists this ribosomal RNA (539 nucleotides) under uncultured bacterium. RNAcentral describes it as "bacterial SSU rRNA". It matches the Rfam family "Bacterial small subunit ribosomal RNA", at positions 777 to 1320 of the family's 1533-position model. The record is from RNAcentral.
AAUAGAUACCCAGGUAGUCCACGCCCUAAACGAUGUCAACUAGUUGUUGGGGAUUCAUUUCCUUAGUAACGUAGCUAACGCGUGAAGUUGACCGCCUGGGGAGUACGGUCGCAAGAUUAAAACUCAAAGGAAUUGACGGGGACCCGCACAAGCGGUGGAUGAUGUGGAUUAAUUCGAUGCAACGCGAAAAACCUUACCUACCCUUGACAUGUACGGAAGUCCGCUGAGAGGUGGAUGUGCCCGAAAGGGAGCCGUAACACAGGUGCUGCAUGGCUGUCGUCAGCUCGUGUCGUGAGAUGUUGGGUUAAGUCCCGCAACGAGCGCAACCCUCGCCUUUAGUUGCCGCGCAAGCGGAUCUCUAGAGGGACUGCCGGUGUUAAACCGGAGGAAGGUGGGGAUGACGUCAAGUCCUCAUGGCCUUUAUGACCAGGGCUACACACGUGCUACAAUGGCCGGUACAAAGCGUUGCCAACUCGCGAGGGGGAGCUAAUCCCAGAAAGUGUAUCGUAGUCCGGAUUGUAGUCUGCAACUCGACUACA